This 248-nucleotide ribosomal RNA is filed under the name uncultured Actinomycetales bacterium. Its description in RNAcentral is "partial 16S ribosomal RNA". It matches the Rfam family "Bacterial small subunit ribosomal RNA", at positions 84 to 334 of the family's 1533-position model. The record is from RNAcentral. Lineage: Bacteria; Bacillati; Actinomycetota; Actinomycetes; Actinomycetales.
GGGGUACUCGAGUGGCGAACGGGUGAGUAACACGUGAGUAACCUACCCUUGACUUUGGGAUAACUUCAGGAAACUGGGGCUAAUACCGGAUAGGAGCUCCUGCUGCAUGGUGGGGUUGGAAAGUUUCGGCGGUUGGGGAUGGACUCGCGGCUUAUCAGCUUGUUGGUGGGGUAGUGGCUCACCAAGGCUUUGACGGGUAGCCGGCCUGAGAGGGUGGCCGGCCACAUUGGGACUGAGAUACGGCCCAG